This is a long non-coding RNA of Anneissia japonica, 257 nucleotides long. RefSeq lists it as uncharacterized. The transcript is spliced from 3 exons. The record is from RefSeq and is a predicted model, not a curated record. NCBI's taxonomy places the organism in Eukaryota, Metazoa, Echinodermata, Crinoidea, Comatulida, Comatulidae.
AUUUCAUUUUUAUUUCAGUUCUCUCAGGAGCGUGUGCGUUGGCUCCUUGUAAGAAUGGCGGAACGUGUUUGGAUGUAAUGUCAGUAGUUGCCGUUUGCCAGUGUCUUCCCGGAUUUAGAGGGAAUUUUUGUGAAGUGCCAGAUGGGAAACCGUGUAUGGUGGACGGAAUUUUGUACAGAGAUACUCAACUAAUCGACUUCUAUUGCUCAACUUGCGUUUGUAACGAUGGCAACAUGGAAUGCAAUGACGAAUGUGGU